Molecule: ribosomal RNA, 484 nt
Filed under: uncultured bacterium
Lineage: Bacteria
Description: partial 16S ribosomal RNA
Rfam family: Bacterial small subunit ribosomal RNA
Source: RNAcentral
AUUGAACGCUGGCGGCAUGCUUUACACAUGCAAGUCGAACGGCAGCGCGGGCUUCGGCCUGGCGGCGAGUGGCGAACGGGUGAGUAAUGCAUCGGAACGUGCCCAGUAGUGGGGGAUAGCCCGGCGAAAGCCGGAUUAAUACCGCAUACGACCUGAGGGUGAAAGCGGGGGACCGAAAGGCCUCGCGCUAUUGGAGCGGCCGAUGUCGGAUUAGCUAGUUGGUGGGGUAAAGGCUUACCAUGGCGACGAUCCGUAGCUGGUCUGAGAGGACGACCAGCCACACUGGGACUGAGACACGGCCCAGACUCCUACGGGAGGCAGCAGUGGGGAAUUUUGGACAAUGGGGGCAACCCUGAUCCAGCCAUGCCGCGUGCGGGAAGAAGGCCUUCGGGUUGUAAACCGCUUUUGUUCGGGAAGAAAUCCUCUGGGCUAAUACCCCGGGGGGAUGACGGUACCGGAAGAAUAAGCACCGGCUAACUACGUG